AGGACACCCAUAACCCUUGAUAGUACCACCAGCAAUGCACAAGUUACCAAGCUUUGGGAUAACAUCAAAAGGAAACUCUGCCUUCUCCCAAUACUUUGUCAUAAUUGGAGCGAUUUCUUUUUCCACACACUGUCUCACUUUUUUUCUGAGAGCUUGCUCCUCGGGAGUCAAUAGGUCGUUGAACUGAUAGUAGUCUGAGACGGAAGGAGGAAAGGAGGAUGCAGAAGUUGCUUGAGGGAAUGCAACAGAAACAUCCAGCGCCGGUAAACCGAAGUAGGAACUUCUUGCCUUCUCGUCCUUAUAAUCUUGGCGAUUCAUUUUGGCGUCGACGGUCA
RNAcentral lists this unclassified non-coding RNA (335 nucleotides) under Hevea brasiliensis (rubber tree). Lineage: Eukaryota; Viridiplantae; Streptophyta; Magnoliopsida; Malpighiales; Euphorbiaceae. The record is from RNAcentral.